CAGUCGCCACGGGAAUACAGAGGGUGCAAGCGUUAAUCGGAAUUACUGGGCGUAAAGCGCGCGUAGGUGGUUUGUUAAGUUGGAUGUGAAAUCCCCGGGCUCAACCUGGGAACUGCAUCCAAAACUGGCAAGCUAGAGUAUGGUAGAGGGUGGUGGAAUUUCCUGUGUAGCGGUGAAAUGCGUAGAUAUAGGAAGGAACACCAGUGGCAAAGGCGACCACCUGGACUGAUACUGACACUGAGGUGCGAAAGCGUGGGGAGCAAACAGGAUUAGAUACCCCGGUAGUCCCUGUCUCUUAUAC
RNAcentral lists this ribosomal RNA (301 nucleotides) under uncultured bacterium. RNAcentral describes it as "partial 16S ribosomal RNA". It matches the Rfam family "Bacterial small subunit ribosomal RNA", at positions 509 to 807 of the family's 1533-position model. The record is from RNAcentral.